GUUCAGAUAAGUCCUGGCAAGAGAGCCAAUAGCAGCACAUGCAAGCACCGCCUCUUGUGGAGUUGCGCGCGAGGCCACUGGAGCCUUUCAGAAGGAUGAAACAACUUUGCCCAAGGUCACAUAUCUGACGAAGGGCAGCGAGUCUGGAGCCAGCUCAUUGUAUCUGGAAGGCCGUGUACUUUCCACCCGGCCGCGCUAUCUCGCGUUCGUCCCGGAUUCCUUCGGAGCCACCUGUUCCCAUCCUCAUCCCCAACCCACGCGAAGAUAAAACAGGACUGACGCCCCAGGAACCAGAGAAUACACGGGAAAAAGAAAAAAGAAAAAAGCGCGCGCUCCUUGGCUCACCGAGCCCGCCACCACCACCACCACCCCUUCCAAGGAGGAGGGGGGAGAAGGAGGGAGCCGAUGCUCGGCUGCACUUCCUCCGCUCCCCUGCACCUGAGCGCCGUCGAAGCGGAUCCGCAGCGCGAUGCCAACCGCAAGCAGGUGCGCUCGGCCCCGCAGGACGCGUGCGCAGAGCCCCGCGGGACGCGCCCGCCGCCCCGCCCUGGGCGGCCGGGUGGAAUCCCUCCCAGCUGGGCAGGAAGGCAGUUGUUUGCUUCCUGGUGGAACGUUCCACUUGAAACGGUUCCACGAGGGCUGUUCUCGCCUCCGACUCCGGGAAGAACUGUAAUUAACACAGCAACAAACGCCCACGACGCUAACUGGCAAAGGGAGUGUAACACGAGCCCGCUGCUCCAACCGAAUUGGGCCAAUUGCUUUCCCUUCUUUGCCUCCCCGCUUGGUCUGUUUUGGUUCCGCACUCAUCCAACUGGAGCGUUUCUUAAAACAUGUCAGUGGCUGGUGUUUGUGUUUUGAGUUGAACGGUUUCACACCCGUCGCUGGAGAUGGGGCUCGGCAGGCUGCAGGGCUGGGGACUUGCUUUCUGCGAGCGUCGCGAGCGUCAGGUAGAAAAGUUCAGAGAGAGGCUAGAAGGAUGGCGAGGGAGGAGGAGACAGCGGGGCCUCACCGCCUCCAAUUGUCUGGAGUUGGUUCUGUCUCCUUCCGACCAAGACAAGUAGAACCGGUCUGCCCGCUCUCCAGCCGGAGAGGGUGGGGCGUCCCAACGCACCUGGCAGCCACUCUGGGCCUCGGGGACGCCGCACUGGGGCGGCUGAGGAAGGAACCCGGGGCGGACUCUCGAGUGGGAGGGAGGGGGUUCUGCAAACAGCACUCAGGUCUACAGGCUUGCCCUGCAGGGGCUGCGGUGGCCAGGGUCCAGGGACUGUUAUGACUCUUUGAUCUGUGUGUAAGGAUCUGAGUUGUGAUGCUUCGGUUUUAUUUAACUUUGCAUCUGCCAAGUGUGGUCCACUGCCCAGCAGCUUCUUGAGAACUGGUUUCAGACAGAAUCCCCACGCUGGCUGGCUAUAGACGCCUUUUCCUGGCUUCAGACUCCUUUAACAAGAUUCUUUGAUCAGCGACCUCUCUGUCAGCUUACUUGGUUCAACGGUUGACGAAAAGCAUCUGGAGCUGGGGCGCAGAACGCCUAGCAUGCCUGAAGCCUCAAGUUUGACGAUCCCCACCACAGCUUAAACCCGGUGUGGGAGUAGCCUAGCUACUCCCAUAAUCCCAGCACACCGGACAGAAUUGGAAGCUGGAAGAUCCAAAGUUCAAGGUCUCUGGCCGCACAAUAUAUCUUACUGAAUUUUUCAUUUGAGGAAAGCACCAGCUGGGGAAGCCAAACAUGGGCUAUUACAAAAUUCUGCAAGCAAAAUCAACCUAAAGGCUUACACUGCAGUGAUUCCAGCAGCAAGGACAUACAAAUCUAAUCCAUCAACACUGCCCCGGUCUCCCUUCUGUACUUUCAAUGAGUGCUUGUCUGAGUUCACUUAAGAAUCCAAACCAGAGCCUCCCAUGACUCCAUUUUCAAGUGAUUCUAUUCUGAGCAGAGCAGUAGAACUGGAGAUCCCUCCCUUUGCCAGAAUUCUGAGAGCAGUGCCAUUCCGUCACCAUGAACUUGCCUUCUGUGGGCAACCCAGCAUACCGAGCACCAUUUGUGGAGACCAUUGAAGGAGCUUGUGACUGGCUCAAGCCCCAGGAGUGGUGAACAGCAGAAAUCAGCAGCUGCACACUAGGGCCACGGAGGGUGGCCAGCUCCGCCUUUCUCCUCCGUGGCACCCAGAGCUGCCACGUGGGUGCCAGUUACUCACACCCUUAUUUAUGUCUUCCUUCUCAGUAAGCUCUGCAAACCAAGAUCGCUAAAAGUUGCCGUUAAGGCAAGGGUAAAGGUCCAUCCACCUACUCCAGGGGUUGAUGCGGAUUCACUGUGACAUGGGGCACUGGGAAAAGGACAAGGUGCUGCUGGAAGUCUGUCACCACCAUCACUGUCUUAAUCUUCGGGGAUAUUUAUUCUUCACCAGCCUGGCAGUAAUAAUGACAGCUAACAGUUGAUUGGAUAACAUACCCGGAGCUACUUAAAUCUCAAUGCUCAUAACACCACCUUCAAGCAGACAUUAUUCCACUGUUCACGGACCAUAAAACGGAGGCAUGAAGAGAUUAAGUAACUAACUGACUAGGAUGGAAACCUCAUUUCUCUGACCUCGGAGCCUAUUCAUCUAACCGUAUCUUAAUUAAAUAUACACAGUGUC
Molecule: long non-coding RNA, 2627 nt
Organism: Peromyscus leucopus (white-footed mouse)
Lineage: Eukaryota; Metazoa; Chordata; Mammalia; Rodentia; Cricetidae
Exons: 2
Source: RefSeq, a predicted model, not a curated record